CAUAUCAAUAAGCGGAGGAAAAGAAACCAACAGGGAUUCCCCUAGUAACGGCGAGUGAAGCGGGAACAGCUCAAAUUUGAAAUCUGGCCCUCGGGUCCGAGUUGUAAUUUGUAGAGGAUGCUUUUGGUGCGGUGCCUUCCGAGUUCCCUGGAACGGGACGCCUUAGAGGGUGAGAGCCCCGUACGGUUGGACGCCUAGCCUCUGUAAAGCUCCUUCGACGAGUCGAGUAGUUUGGGAAUGCUGCUCUAAAUGGGAGGUAUAUUUCUUCUAAAGCUAAAUACUGGCCAGAGACCGAUAGCGCACAAGUAGAGUGAUCGAAAGAUGAAAAGCACUUUGAAAAGAGGGUUAAAUAGCACGUGAAAUUGUUGAAAGGGAAGCGUUUAUCACCAGACUUUUUCUGGGGGGAUCAUCCGGUGUUCUCACCGGUGCACUUCCCCCAGUUGAGGCCAGCAUCGGUUUUCGGAGGGGGAUAAAAGCUUCGGGAAUGUGACUCCCUCGGGAGUGUUAUAGCCCGUUGCAUAAUACCCUU
RNAcentral lists this ribosomal RNA (529 nucleotides) under Trichosphaeriales sp. Its description in RNAcentral is "eukaryotic LSU rRNA". It matches the Rfam family "Eukaryotic large subunit ribosomal RNA", at positions 39 to 578 of the family's 3401-position model. The record is from RNAcentral. Lineage: Eukaryota; Fungi; Ascomycota; Sordariomycetes; Trichosphaeriales.